Chelonia mydas (Green sea turtle) is the source of this 150-nucleotide long non-coding RNA. RefSeq lists it as uncharacterized. Lineage: Eukaryota; Metazoa; Chordata; Testudines; Cheloniidae. The transcript has 3 exons. The record is from RefSeq and is a predicted model, not a curated record.
AGGUAAAGAUAUUAGGGCUAUCAAUUAAGCGCAGUUAACUCACGCGAUUAACUCAACAAAAUUAAUCGCGAUUAAUCGCAGUUUUAAUCGCACUGUUAAACACUAGAAUACCAACUGAAAUUUAUUAACUAUUUUGGAUGUUUUUCUACA